UCAGCUCGUGUUGUAAGGUGUUGGUUUAAGUCUCGCAACAAGCGCAACACUCAUGUUUAGUUGCCAUUAUGAGUUUGGAACCCUGAACAGACCGCCGGUGUUAAGCCGGAGGAAGGAGAGGAUGA
Oryza sativa Japonica Group (Japanese rice) is the source of this 125-nucleotide ribosomal RNA. It matches the Rfam family "Bacterial small subunit ribosomal RNA", at positions 1055 to 1182 of the family's 1533-position model. The record is from Rfam. NCBI's taxonomy places the organism in Eukaryota, Viridiplantae, Streptophyta, Magnoliopsida, Poales, Poaceae.